GGGUUGUGAGGUUAAGCGACUAAGCGUACACGGUGGAUGCCCUGGCAGUCAGAGGCGAUGAAGGACGUGCUAAUCUGCGAUAAGCGUCGGUAAGGUGAUAUGAACCGUUAUAACCGGCGAUUUCCGAAUGGGGAAACCCAGUGUGAUUCGUCACACUAUCAUUAACUGAAUCCAUAGGUUAAUGAGGCGAACCGGGGGAACUGAAACAUCUAAGUACCCCGAGGAAAAGAAAUCAACCGAGAUUCCCCCAGUAGCGGCGAGCGAACGGGGAGGAGCCCAGAGCCUGAAUCAGUGUGUGUGUUAGUGGAAGCGUCUGGAAAGGCGCGCGAUACAGGGUGACAGCCCCGUACACAAAAAUGCACAUGCUGUGAGCUCGAUGAGUAGGGCGGGACACGUGGUAUCCUGUCUGAAUAUGGGGGGACCAUCCUCCAAGGCUAAAUACUCCUGACUGACCGAUAGUGAACCAGUACCGUGAGGGAAAGGCGAAAAGAACCCCGGCGAGGGGAGUGAAAAAGAACCUGAAACCGUGUACGUACAAGCAGUGGGAGCCUCUUUUAUGGGGUGACUGCGUACCUUUUGUAUAAUGGGUCAGCGACUUAUAUUCUGUAGCAAGGUUAACCGAAUAGGGGAGCCGAAGGGAAACCGAGUCUUAACCGGGCGUUAAGUUGCAGGGUAUAGACCCGAAACCCGGUGAUCUAGCCAUGGGCAGGUUGAAGGUUGGGUAACACUAACUGGAGGACCGAACCGACUAAUGUUGAAAAAUUAGCGGAUGACUUGUGGCUGGGGGUGAAAGGCCAAUCAAACCGGGAGAUAGCUGGUUCUCCCCGAAAGCUAUUUAGGUAGCGCCUCGUGAAUUCAUCUCCGGGGGUAGAGCACUGUUUCGGCAAGGGGGUCAUCCCGACUUACCAACCCGAUGCAAACUGCGAAUACCGGAGAAUGUUAUCACGGGAGACACACGGCGGGUGCUAACGUCCGUCGUGAAGAGGGAAACAACCCAGACCGCCAGCUAAGGUCCCAAAGUCAUGGUUAAGUGGGAAACGAUGUGGGAAGGCCCAGACAGCCAGGAUGUUGGCUUAGAAGCAGCCAUCAUUUAAAGAAAGCGUAAUAGCUCACUGGUCGAGUCGGCCUGCGCGGAAGAUGUAACGGGGCUAAACCAUGCACCGAAGCUGCGGCAGCGACACUGUGUGUUGUUGGGUAGGGGAGCGUUCUGUAAGCCUGUGAAGGUGU
RNAcentral lists this ribosomal RNA (1227 nucleotides) under Escherichia coli. RNAcentral describes it as "partial 23S ribosomal RNA". It matches the Rfam family "Bacterial large subunit ribosomal RNA", at positions 1 to 1259 of the family's 2925-position model. Lineage: Bacteria; Pseudomonadati; Pseudomonadota; Gammaproteobacteria; Enterobacterales; Enterobacteriaceae. The record is from RNAcentral.